AGCUCCAAUAGCGUAUAUUAAAGUUGUUGCAGUUAAAAGCUCGUAGUUGGAUUUCUGGCCGGCCCGGUUGGUCUGCGCCGCAAGGCGUGUGUUACCGCUCCGUGUGCCGGCCCUCUUGGGGAUCUGUGCUUGCCUGCCGUUUACUUCGGUGGGCUUGUGCACCCCCUCGUUUACUGUGAAAAAUUAGAGUGUUUAAAGCAGGCUUACGCCGUUGAAUACAUUAGCAUGGAAUAAUAAGAUAGGACUUUGGCGGUCUAUUUUGUUGGUUUGCACGCCAAGGUAAUGAUUAAUAGGGACAGUUGGGGGUAUUCGUAUUCAAUUGUCAGAGGUGAAAUUCUUGGAUUUAUGGAAGACGAACUACUGCGAAAGCAUUUACCAAGGAUGUUUUCA
This 390-nucleotide ribosomal RNA is filed under the name uncultured eukaryote. Its description in RNAcentral is "SSU rRNA". It matches the Rfam family "Eukaryotic small subunit ribosomal RNA", at positions 587 to 972 of the family's 1831-position model. The record is from RNAcentral.